UGCGGGAUCGUCUAGCGGUAGGACAUCUGACUCUGAAUUAGAGAACCCUGGUUCGAAUCCAGGUCCCGCAU
RNAcentral lists this transfer RNA (71 nucleotides) under Anaerolineae bacterium. RNAcentral describes it as "tRNA-Gln". It matches the Rfam family "tRNA". Rfam says of the family: Transfer RNA (tRNA) molecules are approximately 80 nucleotides in length. Their secondary structure includes four short double-helical elements and three loops (D, anti-codon, and T loops). Further hydrogen bonds mediate the characteristic L-shaped molecular structure. tRNAs have two regions of fundamental functional importance: the anti-codon, which is responsible for specific mRNA codon recognition, and the 3' end, to which the tRNAs corresponding amino acid is attached (by aminoacyl-tRNA synthetases). tRNAs cope with the degeneracy of the genetic code in two manners: having more than one tRNA (with a specific anti-codon) for a particular amino acid; and 'wobble' base-pairing, i.e. permitting non-standard base-pairing at the 3rd anti-codon position. The record is from RNAcentral. Lineage: Bacteria; Bacillati; Chloroflexota; Anaerolineae.